GAUGAACGCUGGCGGCGUGCCUAAUACAUGCAAGUCGAGCGAACAGACGAGGAGCUUGCUCCUCUGACGUUAGCGGCGGACGGGUGAGUAACACGUGGAUAACCUACCUAUAAGAUUGGGAUAACUUCGGGAAACCGGAGCUAAUACCGGAUAAUAUAUUGAACCGCAUGGUUCAAUAGUGAAAGACGGUUUUGCUGUCACUUAUAGAUGGAUCCGCGCCGCAUUAGCUAGUUGGUAAGGUAACGGCUUACCAAGGCGACGAUGCGUAGCCGACCUGAGAGGGUGAUCGGCCACACUGGAACUGAGACACGGUCCAGACUCCUACGGGAGGCAGCAGUAGGGAAUCUUACGCAAUGGGCGAAAGCCUGACGGAGCAACGCCGCGUGAGUGAUGAAGGUCUUCGGAUCGUAAAACUCUGUUAUUAGGGAAGAACAAAUGUGUAAGUAACUAUGCACGUCUUGACGGUACCUAAUCAGAAAGCCACGGCUAACUACGUG
RNAcentral lists this ribosomal RNA (497 nucleotides) under uncultured bacterium. Its description in RNAcentral is "partial 16S ribosomal RNA". It matches the Rfam family "Bacterial small subunit ribosomal RNA", at positions 28 to 507 of the family's 1533-position model. The record is from RNAcentral.